AGAGUUUGAUCCUGGCUCAGGACGAACGCUGGCGGCGUGCCUAAUACAUGCAAGUUGAGCGAUGAAGAUUGGUGCUUGCACCAAUUUGAAGAGCAGCGAACGGGUGAGUAACGCGUGGGGAAUCUGCCUUUGAGCGGGGGACAACAUUUGGAAACGAAUGCUAAUACCGCAUAACAACUUUAAACAUAAGUUUUAAGUUUGAAAGAUGCAAUUGCAUCACUCAAAGAUGAUCCCGCGUUGUAUUAGCUAGUUGGUGAGGUAAAGGCUCACCAAGGCGAUGAUACAUAGCCGACCUGAGAGGGUGAUCGGCCACAUUGGGACUGAGACACGGCCCAAACUCCUACGGGAGGCAGCAGUAGGGAAUCUUCGGCAAUGGACGAAAGUCUGACCGAGCAACGCCGCGUGAGUGAAGAAGGUUUUCGGAUCAUAAAACUCUGUUGGUAGAGAAGAACGUUGGUGAGAGUGGAAAGCUCAUCAAGUGACGGUAACUACCCAGAAAGGGACGGCUAACUACGUGCCAGCAGCCGCGGU
RNAcentral lists this ribosomal RNA (531 nucleotides) under uncultured bacterium. Its description in RNAcentral is "bacterial SSU rRNA". It matches the Rfam family "Bacterial small subunit ribosomal RNA", at positions 8 to 521 of the family's 1533-position model. The record is from RNAcentral.